This 164-nucleotide unclassified non-coding RNA is filed under the name soil metagenome. Its description in RNAcentral is "partial internal transcribed spacer 1". The record is from RNAcentral.
CACAAAUAUGAAGGCGGGCUGGAACCUCUCGGGGUUACGGCCUUGCUGAAUUAUUCACCCUUGUCUUUUGCGUACUUCUUGUUUCCUUGGUGGGUUCGCCCACCACUAGGACAAACAUAAACCUUUUGUAAUUGCAAUCAGCGUCAGUAACAAAUUAAUAAUUA